Molecule: ribosomal RNA, 462 nt
Filed under: uncultured bacterium
Lineage: Bacteria
Description: partial 16S ribosomal RNA
Rfam family: Bacterial small subunit ribosomal RNA
Source: RNAcentral
GACGAACGCUGGCGGCGUGCUUAACACAUGCAAGUCGAACGGAAAGGCCCUUCGGGGUACUCGAGUGGCGAACGGGUGAGUAACACGUGGGUGAUCUGCCCUGCACUUUGGGAUAAGCCUGGGAAACUGGGUCUAAUACCGAAUAGGACCACGCGCUUCAUGGUGUGUGGUGGAAAGCUUUUGCGGUGUGGGAUGGGCCCGCGGCCUAUCAGCUUGUUGGUGGGGUAAUGGCCUACCAAGGCGACGACGGGUAGCCGGCCUGAGAGGGUGACCGGCCACACUGGGACUGAGAUACGGCCCAGACUCCUACGGGAGGCAGCAGUGGGGAAUAUUGCACAAUGGGCGCAAGCCUGAUGCAGCGACGCCGCGUGAGGGAUGACGGCCUUCGGGUUGUAAACCUCUUUCAAUAGGGACGAAGCGCAAGUGACGGCACCUAUAGAAGAAGCACCGGCCAACUACGUG